RNAcentral lists this ribosomal RNA (468 nucleotides) under uncultured bacterium. Its description in RNAcentral is "partial 16S ribosomal RNA". It matches the Rfam family "Bacterial small subunit ribosomal RNA", at positions 28 to 507 of the family's 1533-position model. The record is from RNAcentral.
GACGAACGCUGGCGGCGUGCUUAACACAUGCAAGUCGAACGGAAAGGCCCUGCUUUUGUGGGGUGCUCGAGUGGCGAACGGGGGAGUAACACGUGAGUAACCUGCCCUUGACUUUGGGAUAACUUCAGGAAACUGGGGCUAAUACCGGAUAGGAGCUCCUGCUGCAUGGUGGGGGUUGGAAAGUUUCGGCGGUUGGGGAUGGACUCGCGGCUUAUCAGCUUGUUGGUGGGGUAGUGGCUUACCAAGGCUUUGACGGGUAGCCGGCCUGAGAGGGUGACCGGCCACAUUGGGACUGAGAUACGGCCCAGACUCCAACGGGAGGCAGCAGUGGGGAAUAUUGCACAAUGGGCGGAAGCCUGAUGCAGCAACGCCGCGUGCGGGAUGACGGCCUUCGGGUUGUAAACCGCUUUCGCCUGUGACGAAGCGUGAGUGACGGUAAUGGGUAAAGAAGCACCGGCUAACUACGUG